ACAAGCCUGAGAAACGGCUAGUAGGACUAAGGUCUGCAGCAGGCGCGAAACUUACACAAUGCUAGAUUUUAUAUAACUUAGCGAUGUAGUGAAGAAAAAUAACGAUGUACUUGUAUUUAUACAUACUUGUACAAUUGGAAUGAGACGACUCUAAACCGGUCAGUCGAGUAACAAAUGGAGGGCAAGUCUGGUGCCAGCAGCCGCGGUAAUUCCAGCUCCAUUAGCAUACAUUAAAGUUGUUGCGGUUAAAAAGCUCGUAGUUGAAUGUAGUGUUGGCGUGGGUGUUUGUCAUUCGUUAAGGUUGUCAUCUUAACCGAUACAACUGAGUGAUCAAAGCACACGGCGCCAAUUGUUUCGUCACUUAAUCGAGUGCGAAGCGGGUGGGUCUUUUAACGUUACAUUUAUGUAGCUUAAAUAAUUCACAUGUUUACCUUGAGAAAAUUAGAGUGCUCAGAGCAGGCAGUUGGGGCGUAAAAACCUCUUUAUGCUUGAAUAAUGUUGCAUGGAAUAAUAGAAUACGGCCUCGGUUCUAUUCUGUUGGUCUUAUAGAACAACAAACAAGUAGUUGGAGUUUAACAAAUGCGGGUCUUGUUGCUGUUCGUGUUGUCAAGGGCCUUAAAAUCUUUGUACCGCAACAUCGCAUGACACCAACCGCAUAAACACCUAAUCUACUGAGGCAAUGGUUAAAAGAAAUAGUCGCGGCGGCAUCAGUACUGCAUCGUGAGAG
RNAcentral lists this ribosomal RNA (727 nucleotides) under Tetra phyllostachyis. RNAcentral describes it as "partial 18S ribosomal RNA". It matches the Rfam family "Eukaryotic small subunit ribosomal RNA", at positions 389 to 910 of the family's 1831-position model. The record is from RNAcentral. Lineage: Eukaryota; Metazoa; Arthropoda; Arachnida; Trombidiformes; Eriophyidae.